This 710-nucleotide long non-coding RNA is filed under the name Mus pahari (shrew mouse). RNAcentral's name for it is "RIKEN cDNA 9430024E24 gene (MGP_PahariEiJ_G0005433.1)". The record is from RNAcentral. Lineage: Eukaryota; Metazoa; Chordata; Mammalia; Rodentia; Muridae.
GCUGACUAGCUACAGACCCUCAGGGCUCAGCUGGGAGGGAUUUAUUGGAGAAUUUCAAUCAUGGGGUCUUGGCUCAAACUUGUUGCUUCCCUCAAAAAAAUCUGCCCAGAGGUUUGAUUACAUGUGGGAUUGGGGCACAGGGGGCCAGUCUGAUGAUCACGCAAUUCAGAAUUCCACCUGGGCCUCUGGGAGUGUUGCAGCCCCGAGAGGAAGAGAAGAGGACACAGGACAGCCAGCGAGAUGCGGGUUCUGGCAUGAUGUGGAGUGGAAAUCUUGGACGCCUAGUGACAUAUUUCUACCCAGGAAGAAUUUUGAAUUCUGAAGGUACACUUGAUUAAAACCCCAAACCGUGAGCAGUUGCCGAUGGAACCACCCGACACUUUGACUUCUGGGUGUCGCUUAAUUAAAAUAUUCACCCAGCUGCUCUUCCCUUGCCAAGGGGGCCCAAAGGAAUUAAACCAAUAAGCUUAAUUCUGUCAGGUCACCUGCCUGUGUAUACAGAGACAUGGAAGACCAUUUACCAGUUCAGAAAUAAAGUGUCAGAUCCGCCCAGCAAAGCCAACGUGGACCACACAGUGACCCAGUCCCCCAGAUGGACAGCAUCACCCUCUGCCAUCUCCGUUUCCAACUUGGAACACACGCGGCUAUUUUUAAGGCCUCUUCCAGUACGACCAGAAUGACACACUGGUCAAUACAAGGAUUACUUUGCC